Chiroxiphia lanceolata (lance-tailed manakin) is the source of this 1501-nucleotide long non-coding RNA. RefSeq lists it as uncharacterized. The transcript has 2 exons. The record is from RefSeq and is a predicted model, not a curated record. Lineage: Eukaryota; Metazoa; Chordata; Aves; Passeriformes; Pipridae.
ACAGAUGGAUGUUUGCACAGAGACAUGCAAAAAAAAAAAAAAAAAAAAAAAAAAGGAAGGGGUGAGGCAAACUGAACUUUAACUGCUAAAAACUGAUGGGUUUUACAGCAUCUGGACAUUGAACAGAAGUUUGUGUCCUGAGGUUGAGCAUUAAUUCCCUCAGAUAAAGCUAGAAUGUCUGUUCAAAUACACGCUAAGUCAACUCAUAAAAUGACUAGCUCUAAACCAUAAGGGGCAGAUCGAGUGUUACAGAUCCUGGGAGAUCGUGCAGAAACACAGAGGUUGCAGAGUCUAACCAGUCACAAGAUUCCAGGCAGAACCAAAUCACGGACUGCAGGCUGGCAGACUCCGAUUAAGAGAAGGGAUCUUCUCCAGAGCAGAUGUAGCUUUUCUCAAUAUUUAACAAUUCAGAUUUUUCCAAAGUUAAAUACUAUAUUUCUAAUGACAUGAAACAAAUGAUCUCUUAGAUGAAAGAACUCUUUAAACUGUUCCAGUCACAAAAGAUAUGAAGUACAGCAAUCAAGAUACCCACCAAAACCAGACUGAAGUUGAAAGGACAACCAACAACAGCUGAAGACAAUGUGCUCCCCAAAUGCCACUGCCACGAAAGGUCUGCAGCACCCAAGUAAGGGCCCUGAACAUGCCACGAGAAAAAGGUAAAAAAGCAAACCUGUGAAGCCUAUUUUUGGAACCAGUAUCAUCUCAGACAAGGAAAUUAGUUCCUAAAUAUAAUUACUGCCUAAUGAAGGUAAUCAUAAACAGCUGAAACUCCAGACAACUGUAUGAUGCAGCAAAUCAAUGUGCUCAAAAAUGCAGAGACAAGAAUGAAUACCGAUAACCCGCUCACACAGUGCCCAAAUCUUACCUGGUUUGAGCAGAUGUGGGUGUGUGAAAGGGCUGGGCUGGCCCAAAUACCGGUUUGGAAUCUUCUUCUGCUGGGCAGGCUGGAUGGAAAAUCUUCGGAGAGCACAUGACUUGCAAACUGGAGGAAAAGAAAUGCAUCACGUCAAGGUGAGAAAAACCCUUCCAGCUAGAAAAUUGCUGAAUUCUACUACAGUCUUCAGACUUUUAGUAGCAUUCAUUCACUUACACGGCAGAAAUAUCCCUGCUUAGCUUCUCGAUCUGUUGUGUACCACCAUAGUUUAUGAAACAAUGUGCACACUACUCAACUACUGAUCAAAUACUCAUAAAACAGAUUGAAAGAAACGAACAGAUGCCAAACCCAACAAUCCAGCAAGAAAACCCAGGAAGCUCUGUUGGUUUGCACAUCCCAAUUCAUACACUUGGUGUUCAGGAGGUGCUUGAUGCUCUCCCUCCCUUACUUCCCUCAAACACCACAGGGCUCCAAGCACAACACCACCUAUAUAUUGUUUCUUCUUGACUAUGUCUUCAAAAAACAUCCCUUACCUUGAACAACUAUACAUUUUCCAAGGCCUUUCCAGUUCUCUUUUUUACUAAUAACACAGCAAAGAAAUCAUCAAAUAACAGGUUUAUACAGCAA